GGUCCGAUGGUGUAGUUGGUUAUCACUUCUGUCUAACAAUUCUACGGUUACGUAAUUGGUGCACAGGCGGUCCUCAGUUCGAACCUGGGUCGGAUCA
Molecule: non-coding RNA, 97 nt
Organism: Mycena latifolia
Lineage: Eukaryota; Fungi; Basidiomycota; Agaricomycetes; Agaricales; Mycenaceae
Source: the annotation of a GenBank genome assembly